UUGGUUAAGUUAGAAAGGGCGCACGGUGGAUGCCUUGGCACUAGGAGCCGAAGAAGGACGGGACUAACACCGAUAUGCUUUGGGGAGCUGUACGUAAGCGUUGAUCCAGAGAUUUCCGAAUGGGGGAACCCACUAUCUUUAGUCGGAUAGUAUCCUUACGUGAAUACAUAGCGUGAGGAAGGCAGACCCAGGGAACUGAAACAUCUAAGUACCUGGAGGAAGAGAAAGAAAAAUCGAUUUCCUGAGUAGCGGCGAGCGAAACGGAAAGAGCCCAAACCAAGAAGCUUGCUUCUUGGGGUUGUAGGACACUCUAUACGGAGUUACAAAAGAAAGUUAUAAAUGAAGCGGUCUGGAAAGGCCCGCCAAAGACGGUAACAGCCCGGUAGUUGAAAUGGCUUUCCCUCCAGAGUGGAUCCUGAGUACGGCGGAACACGUGAAAUUCCGUCGGAAUCCGGGAGGACCAUCUCCCAAGGCUAAAUACUCCCUAGUGACCGAUAGUGAACCAGUACCGUGAGGGAAAGGUGAAAAGCACCCCGGAAGGGGAGUGAAACAGUUCCUGAAACCGUGUGCCUACAAGUAGUUAGAGCCCGUUAAUGGGUGAUAGCGUGCCUUUUGUAGAAUGAACCGGCGAGUUACGAUUUGUUGCAAGGUUAAGCGGAAAAAGCGGAGCCGUAGCGAAAGCGAGUCUGAAUAGGGCGCAUAAGUAACAGGUCGUAGACCCGAAACCAGGUGAUCUACCCAUGUCCAGGAUGAAGGUAAGGUAAUACUUACUGGAGGUCCGAACCCACGCACGUUGAAAAGUGCGGGGAUGAGGUGUGGGUAGCGGAGAAAUUCCAAUCGAACUUGGAGAUAGCUGGUUCUCUCCGAAAUAGCUUUAGGGCUAGCCUCGAGGUAAAGAGUCAUGGAGGUAGAGCACUGUUUGGACUAGGGGCCCUUCUCGGGUUACCGAAUUCAGAUAAACUCCGAAUGCCAUGUACUUAUACUCGGGAGUCAGACUGCGAGUGAUAAGAUCCGUAGUCGAAAGGGAAACAGCCCAGACCACCAGUUAAGGUCCCCAAAUAUAUGUUAAGUGGAAAAGGAUGUGGGGUUGCUUAGACAACCAGGAUGUUGGCUUAGAAGCAGCCACCAUUGAAAGAGUGCGUAAUAGCUCACUGGUCGAGUGACCCCGCGCCGAAAAUGUACCGGGGCUAAACAUAUUACCGAAACUGUGGAUGAACCUCUUUAGAGGUUCGUGGUAGGAGAGCGUUCUAAGGGCGGUGAAGUCAGACCGGAAGGACUGGUGGAGCGCUUAGAAGUGAGAAUGCCGGUAUGAGUAGCGAAAGAAGGGUGAGAAUCCCUUCCACCGAAUAUCUAAGGUUUCCUGAGGAAGGCUCGUCCGCUCAGGGUUAGUCGGGACCUAAGCCGAGGCCGAUAGGCGUAGGCGAUGGACAACAGGUAGAGAUUCCUGUACCAGUGCUAAUUGUUUAACCGAUGGGGUGACACAGAAGGAUAGGGAAUCGCACGAAUGGAAAUGUGCGUCCAAGCAGUGAGUGUGAGAAGUAGGCAAAUCCGCUUCUCGCGAAGCAUGAGCUGUGAUGGGGAAGGAAAUUAAGUACGGAAGUUCCUGAUUUCACGCUGUCAAGAAAAGCCUCUAGGAAGAGUAGUACUGCCCGUACCGCAAACCGACACAGGUAGAUGAGGAGAGAAUCCUAAGGUGAGCGAGAGAACUCUCGUUAAGGAACUCGGCAAAAUGACCCCGUAACUUCGGGAGAAGGGGUGCUCUAUUAGGGUGCAAGCCCGAGAGAGCCGCAGUGAAUAGGCCCAGGCGACUGUUUAGCAAAAACACAGGUCUCUGCAAAACCGUAAGGUGACGUAUAGGGGCUGACGCCUGCCCGGUGCUGGAAGGUUAAGAGGAGUGCUUAGCUUCGGCGAAGGUACGAAUUGAAGCCCCAGUAAACGGCGGCCGUAACUAUAACGGUCCUAAGGUAGCGAAAUUCCUUGUCGGGUAAGUUCCGACCCGCACGAAAGGCGCAACGAUCUGGGCACUGUCUCAACGAGAGACUCGGUGAAAUUAUAGUACCUGUGAAGAUGCAGGUUACCCGCGACAGGACGGAAAGACCCCGUGGAGCUUUACUGCAACCUGAUAUGGAAUGUUUGUACCGCUUGUACAGGAUAGGUAGGAGCCGAAGAGACGUGUGCGCUAGCAUACGAGGAGGCAAUGGUGGGAUACUACCCUGGCUGUAUGACCAUUCUAACCCGCCACGCUUAGCGCGUGGGGAGACAGUGUCAGGUGGGCAGUUUGACUGGGGCGGUCGCCUCCUAAAGAGUAACGGAGGCGCCCAAAGGUUCCCUCAGAAUGGAUGGAAAUCAUUCGCAGAGUGUAAAGGCACAAGGGAGCUUGACUGCGAGACUGACAAGUCGAGCAGGGACGAAAGUCGGGCUUAGUGAUCCGGUGGNGGAGGCGCCCAAAGGUUCCCUCAGAAUGGAUGGAAAUCAUUCGCAGAGUGUAAAGGCACAAGGGAGCUUGACUGCGAGACUGACAAGUCGAGCAGGGACGAAAGUCGGGCUUAGUGAUCCGGUGGUUCCGCAUGGAAGGGCCAUCGCUCAACGGAUAAAAGCUACCCCGGGGAUAACAGGCUUAUCUCCCCCAAGAGUCCACAUCGACGGGGAGGUUUGGCACCUCGAUGUCGGCUCGUCGCAUCCUGGGGCUGUAGUCGGUCCCAAGGGUUGGGCUGUUCGCCCAUUAAAGCGGCACGCGAGCUGGGUUCAGAACGUCGUGAGACAGUUCGGUCCCUAUCCGUCGCGGGCGCAGGAAAUUUGAGAGGAGCUGUCCUUAGUACGAGAGGACCGGGAUGGACACACCGCUGGUGUACCAGUUGUUCCGCCAGGAGCAUCGCUGGGUAGCUAUGUGUGGCAGGGAUAAACGCUGAAAGCAUCUAAGCGUGAAGCCCCCCUCAAGAUGAGAUUUCCCAUUUCUUCGGAAAGUAAGAUCCCUGAAAGAUGAUCAGGUAGAUAGGUUUGGAGUGGAAGUGUAGCGAUACAUGGAGCGGACAAAUACUAAUCGAUCGAGGACUUAACCAAAA
Molecule: ribosomal RNA, 3062 nt
Filed under: Listeria monocytogenes
Lineage: Bacteria; Bacillati; Bacillota; Bacilli; Caryophanales; Listeriaceae
Description: bacterial LSU rRNA
Rfam family: Bacterial large subunit ribosomal RNA
Source: RNAcentral